CUUGAUGGCCCUUGACGACGCAAUUAUUGUUUUAAAACGACCACUGUACACUGUGUGUAUCUGGGUCAAUUAUAACGUUGCCUCGAUAACAUGUAAACUAAUUAUGUUUGAAGAUUUAACCACGGGAUACUGACUGUGUAUUUCAUUAUAGACUUACAUGGAGAACAUUCUGGUUAAACUAUUAAUAUUAGAUCGGAAAACAGAAAGAUAAUAUUCUUAUCAAACGUAUUUAAUUCAAUCGGAAUGAAAGAAAUAU
RNAcentral lists this long non-coding RNA (256 nucleotides) under Mytilus galloprovincialis (Mediterranean mussel). The record is from RNAcentral. Lineage: Eukaryota; Metazoa; Mollusca; Bivalvia; Mytilida; Mytilidae.